AUUGCUUCUCAGUCUUUUGGCUAAGAUCAACUGUAGUAUCUGUUCUUAUCAGUUUAUUUAUUUAUUUUUAAAAAGAUUUUAUUUAUAUAUUCAUGAGAUUUUAUUUAUUUAUUCACGAGAAACACAGAGAGAGGCAGAGGGAGAAGCAGGCUCCCUGCGAAGAACCCGAUGGGGGACUUGAUCCCAGGACCCCCAGAUCAUG
This 202-nucleotide small nuclear RNA is filed under the name Vulpes vulpes (red fox). RNAcentral describes it as "U2 spliceosomal RNA (ENSVVUG00000015608.1)". The stretch from base 1 to 170 matches the Rfam family "U2 spliceosomal RNA". From Rfam's summary of the family: U2 is a small nuclear RNA (snRNA) component of the spliceosome (involved in pre-mRNA splicing). Lineage: Eukaryota; Metazoa; Chordata; Mammalia; Carnivora; Canidae. The record is from RNAcentral.